RNAcentral lists this microRNA (23 nucleotides) under Homo sapiens (human). RNAcentral's name for it is "hsa-miR-6738-5p". Lineage: Eukaryota; Metazoa; Chordata; Mammalia; Primates; Hominidae. The record is from miRBase by way of RNAcentral.
CGAGGGGUAGAAGAGCACAGGGG